UAUCGUUUUUAUGUAAAUAUUUAGGUUGGUGCAAAAGUAAUUGCAGUUUUUGCCAUUUAAUGUGGCCAAAACUGCAAUUACUUUUGCACCCACCUGAUACAUCAAA
This 106-nucleotide microRNA precursor is filed under the name Chlorocebus sabaeus (green monkey). RNAcentral's name for it is "miRNA (ENSCSAG00000022979.1)". Lineage: Eukaryota; Metazoa; Chordata; Mammalia; Primates; Cercopithecidae. The record is from RNAcentral.